RNAcentral lists this ribosomal RNA (2166 nucleotides) under Triticum aestivum (bread wheat). Its description in RNAcentral is "partial small subunit ribosomal RNA". Lineage: Eukaryota; Viridiplantae; Streptophyta; Magnoliopsida; Poales; Poaceae. The record is from RNAcentral.
AUGGCCGUUGCAGGAGACACUGGGACGUCCAAAGGCAAAGAUGUAGAUGAUGUUGUCUAUGGAGACUUUGCUCACUGGGCCUCCACUGAUGAAGGUAAUCCGGAAAAAGCAUCUCUUGCUACUAAUGAGAGUGCUCUAGAGUGGGUUCUUGACUCUGGAGCAUCUAAGCAUGUUGCUAGUAACUCAUGUGUGUUCGAAUCUUACACUAAGCAUCCUCCCUCUCACACGGGCACUAUACAAACGAUUGAUGGCACAAAACAACCGGUCAUAGGGGUUGGUACAGUAAAGUGUACUCCGACCAUUUCCCUAUCGUCAGUUUUACAUGUGCCAGCCUUUCCUGUCAAUUUGGUCUCUUUCAGUGCACUCAUUGAUCAAAUGGACUGUCGUGUGAUCCUUGACAAGUUCGGUUGCUUGAUUCAGGUGCGACAGACGAGCCAGACGGUUGGGACUGGCACCAGGCGUAGGGGGCUCUGGUACAUGGACCAGGAGGUGCAGCCGGACUUGGUGUGUGCUGCGACCAUGGAGGAUAAGGAGAAGCAGGCGAUGAUCCAUCAUUGUAGGAUGGGGCAUGUAUCUUUUGAUAAGAUGAGUAGAAUAUUUCCGGAUGUUAUGUGUGGAAUAGGCAAAGGCAAGCUGACAUGUGAUGCUUGUGAAUAUGCAAAACACACACGGGCCUCAUAUGUGAGUAAGGGGCUCAGGAGCAUAUCUCCUUUUAUGCUUAUUCAUUCGGAUGUAUGGACUAGCCCAGUGGUGUCAAUGAAUGGGAAGAAGUAUUUUGCUACCUUUAUUGACUGCUAUUCUCGCAUGACUUGGAUUUACUUGAUGCGUCACAAGGAUGAGGUGUUUAGCUGUUUUCAGAACUUCCAUGCUCUUGUAAAGAACCAGUUUCAGGUACAGGUCAAGGUGCUCAGGACGGACAAUGGAACGGAGUAUGUGAACAACAUUUUUGGGGCUUUCAUGGCUGACCAUGGGAUUCUUCAUCAAACUUCAUGUCCGGACACCCCCCCUCAGAAUGGAGUGGCCGAACGGAAGAAUCGUCAUGUUCUUGAGGUUGCUCGGUCGUUGAUGUUUACCAUGAAUGUGCCUAAGUUCUUGUGGGAUGAUGCAGUUAUGACAACCACAUACUUGAUCAACCGAACACCUUCCAGGAUACUUGGCAUGAAAUCUCCGUCUGAGUUGAUCAUUGGAGAUAAUAAGUUUGUUGUUCCCCCAAAGUUGUUUGGCAGUACCUGCUUUGUUCGUGAUCACCGACCAUCUGUUGGCAAGCUUGAUCCUCGGGCAGUGAAGUGUGUCUUUCUAGGAUACUCGUCUAGUCAGCAGGGGUAUAAAUGUUGGUGUCCCUCUGAAAAACGCAGGUUUGUAAGUAUGGACGUUACAUUCAGGGAGUCUGAGCCAUUCUAUGGUGAGCCGACUGAUCUCAGUCUGUUGUUUGCAGAGCUUGACCAUCUACACCCUGUGCAUGAUGGUCAAGAGGGGGAGAAGGAUGUGUCUCAUACUCACGGUGAUCCUGUGGACAUUAACACUGAUAAUGAUGUGCAGGCUCAGGUUCAACCAAUAGUGGGUACAAUUCCGGUUAGUACCAUCACUGAUGAUGAUGUGCGGGCUCAUGUCGAGCCAACUGUCGAUACACUUAAGAUUGGUGCUCUCCAGGUUCUGUUCGGGAUCGAUGGCAGACGAAUACCCUGGUGUACUCUCGGCGGCAACCACAAGUGCAGGGGGAGCAGCAAGGCAGGGAGGCAAGAGUGCAGGGGGAGCAGCAAGGCAGGGAGGCAAGAGUGCAGGGGGAGCAGCAAGGCAGUGAAAGAGUGCAGGGGGCAGCAAGGCAGUGAGGCAAGCUCAUCUGACACAGUGGAGCUGCCCAUUGCGUUGCGAAAACCUACACGUGAAGCGGCAAGGAAGGGUGAGGUAGCAAGGAAGGCUCUGCCAAAGGAUGAUGCUUGUGAUGACCUUGAUAUUGGCAAUUUUGUGUCUUACAAGGCUUUGUCACCUUCAUAUAAGGCGUUUGUUGCCUCUCUGCAAACUGUGUCUAUCCCUAGGGAUUGGAAGGCUGCAAAGCAAGAUCCGAAGUGGCGUGAAUCGAUGAUAGAGGAGUUAGAAGCAUUGAAAAAAAAACAAGACAUGGGUGCUAACCACAUUGCCGGCAGGAAAGAAAGCAGUGAGUUGUAA